This 987-nucleotide long non-coding RNA is filed under the name Anser brachyrhynchus (Pink-footed goose). RNAcentral describes it as "lncRNA (ENSABRG00000004434.1)". The record is from RNAcentral. Lineage: Eukaryota; Metazoa; Chordata; Aves; Anseriformes; Anatidae.
GGCUUUUUUAGCUUUUCGGUUCUUCUUGUGCAUGGCAUGAGUUAAAUUCAAACAAGAAUACUUCUGUGUGCCCAGGUUUCCUGUGAAAUACAGUUCCAGCCUUACAACAGAUACUAUUUAAAUAAGCCUUCUAUCCCUAACUUUUCUAAAGAUGUUGGUGCAAUUGGUCAGUCAGAAGUUACUGUUGUCAAAUCUACCAUUUCUAAUUCAGCUAAAUAUAUCAUGGUAGGCAAUUUCACAUCAACAGAAUAUAAAAACAAACUGGCAGCAUCCUUGAUCCAAAGAACAGGAAUGAGACAAAAGAGGCAAUAAUGUCCCUCAGCUUGGUAAGCGAUAAUUGGAUGGGUAAAAAAGAAAAAUAUAGGUGUUUUCUUUACAGCAGCUGUGAUGAUUUAGGAUUGAUGAUCUUUUUCAGCUUUUGUUGAAGAGUAUAUAUUUCAAAUGCUAAUAACUCUAUGUAAAUAGACUCUUGCAUAUUAUGAGAGUUGAUGACAUUGUGUGCCAUGCUGCAGAGCACCUAGGGCUGGUUUGGUGUGUGCACAUUCUCCUUUGAAUGCAGAGGCCACUGUUAGGCAGUACAUGGAAACCCACUUCCUGGUUAGGGUGGCUUAAGAGCUGCUCUUACUGCUUCUGGUGUUAGUUCCUUAACUUCUAGCACAGUGUUACCUCGUGGCCACCAGGUAGAAUCACACGAAGGUGGGUUCUUGGUGUGAGGGAAUGCUGUGCUAGUAUUAAAUGUGUGAAUACUUCUGUUGAUCUUAAAUUGGAGGGAGAUGGACUGAGGCAAGUCACAAGUUACACUGACAGGUUUACAGUGAAGUAAUAAUACUAAUGACUGACGCUGCACUGUGUGAAGCCUGAAGAAGUAUCUGAUCCAGGAAAUUUGCUUUGAAACCUGUAGAGCUUCAGUGAUCCACUUAAUGAUCUCUAUGGGAAAUCCUCCUCCUCUGCAUAUCUUUUUCUAUUAGGCUUCUCCUCACUUAAAAA